UAUUGAUUCUUUUUUUUACGUUCACAAUUUUUUCUGUUGCCUUUUUUUUUAAUGAGUUUUUGCAGAAUUCUGCGAUUCUAAUGAAAUAUCGAAUCCUUCGUUUCAGCGAAAUGGCGAAUCUGACAACCGCUUAUACUAACAACCGUCCGCUGUAAAAAAUGUUUUCAUAAAUAUGGUAUCUUUCCACGUAAAAAUAUUCCAUUAUUAUUAAUUAUGUUUAACAAGUGUAAUAGCACGUCAUCUAUGUUGUUAGUUGCUCAGAAACAGUAAUACGAACAUAUUUAAAAAAAUAAAUGUAGUCAUAGAGAGAAGUUCCAUGCAAUGACUACGAUCAAUGCUAAGGACACAGCUAAAGGAAAAAACACAGCUAAAUAUAGAAUUAAAUAUGAAGAAGUGUAACGAAUUUUCAUUGUGAAUUACAGUCUGAUUUGCACGUAUAGCACGACUUGUUAUAUGACGAUUUGUGG
Molecule: long non-coding RNA, 467 nt
Organism: Frieseomelitta varia
Lineage: Eukaryota; Metazoa; Arthropoda; Insecta; Hymenoptera; Apidae
Exons: 2
Source: RefSeq, a predicted model, not a curated record